Nestor notabilis (Kea) is the source of this 164-nucleotide small nuclear RNA. It matches the Rfam family "U1 spliceosomal RNA". Rfam says of the family: U1 is a small nuclear RNA (snRNA) component of the spliceosome (involved in pre-mRNA splicing). Its 5' end forms complementary base pairs with the 5' splice junction, thus defining the 5' donor site of an intron. The record is from Rfam. Lineage: Eukaryota; Metazoa; Chordata; Aves; Psittaciformes; Psittacidae.
ACAAACAAAUAGCAGGGGAGACACCAUGAUCAGGCAGGUGGUUUUCCCAGGGCGAGGCUCAUCCCUUGCACUCCGGGUGUGCUGACCCCUGCGAUUUCCCCAAAUGCGGGAAACUCGACUGCAUAAUUUGUGGUAGUGAGGGACUGCGUUCGCGCUCUCCCCUG